This 1111-nucleotide ribosomal RNA is filed under the name unidentified. RNAcentral's name for it is "bacterial LSU rRNA". It matches the Rfam family "Bacterial large subunit ribosomal RNA", at positions 1821 to 2925 of the family's 2925-position model. The record is from RNAcentral.
CUGUGCAACACGAAAGUGGACGUAUACGGUGUGACGCCUGCCCGGUGCUGGAAGGUUAAUUGAUGGGGUUAGCGGCAACGCGAAGCUCUUGAUCGAAGCCCCAGUAAACGGCGGCCGUAACUAUAACGGUCCUAAGGUAGCGAAAUUCCUUGUCGGGUAAGUUCCGACCUGCACGAAUGGCGUAAUGAUGGCCAGGCUGUCUCCACCCGAGACUCAGUGAAAUUGAACUCGCUGUGAAGAUGCAGUGUACCCGCGGCAAGACGGAAAGACCCCGUGAACCUUUACUAUAGCUUGACACUGAACCUUGAACCUUGAUGUGUAGGAUAGGUGGGAGGCUGUGAAGUGCGGACGCCAGUCUGCACGGAGCCAUCCUUGAAAUACCACCCUUGAAUGUUUGAUGUUCUAACGCAGGCCCGUUAUCCGGGUCGCGGACAGUGUCUGGUGGGUAGUUUGACUGGGGCGGUCUCCUCCCAAAGCGUAACGGAGGAGCACGAAGGUUAGCUAAUCACGGUCGGACAUCGUGAGGUUAGUGCAAUGGCAUAAGCUAGCUUGACUGCGAGAGUGACAGCUCGAGCAGGUACGAAAGUAGGUCAUAGUGAUCCGGUGGUUCUGAAUGGAAGGGCCAUCGCUCAACGGAUAAAAGGUACUCCGGGGAUAACAGGCUGAUACCGCCCAAGAGUUCAUAUCGACGGCGGUGUUUGGCACCUCGAUGUCGGCUCAUCACAUCCUGGGGCUGAAGUAGGUCCCAAGGGUACGGCUGUUCGCCGUUUAAAGUGGUACGCGAGCUGGGUUUAGAACGUCGUGAGACAGUUCGGUCCCUAUCUGCCGUGGGCGUUGGAAGAUUGAAAGGGGCUGCUCCUAGUACGAGAGGACCGGAGUGGACGCACCACUGGUGUUCGGGUUGUCAUGCCAAUGGCACUGCCCGGUAGCUAAGUGCGGAAGAGAUAACCGCUGAAAGCAUCUAAGCGGGAAACUUGCCUUGAGAUGAGUCUUCCCUUGUCCCUUGAGGAUACUGAAGGAACGUUCAAGACGAGGACGUGGAUAGGCUGGGUGUGUAAGCGUAGCGAUACGUUGAGCUAACCAGUACUAAUGAACCGUGAGGCUUAACCUG